RNAcentral lists this long non-coding RNA (466 nucleotides) under Equus caballus (horse). Its description in RNAcentral is "lncRNA (ENSECAG00000057581.1)". Lineage: Eukaryota; Metazoa; Chordata; Mammalia; Perissodactyla; Equidae. The record is from RNAcentral.
UGCCAAUCUUCUUUCUUUUAUUCUUCUUCUCCCCAAAGCCCCCCCAGUACAUAGUUGUAAAUUCCAGGUGUAGGUCCUUCUGGCUGUGCUAUGUGGGAAGCCACCUCAGCAUGGCCUGAGUGGUGCCAUGUCCGUGCCCAGGAUCCAAACCGCCGAAACCCUUGGCAGCCAAAGUGGAGCACAUGAACUUAACCACCCAGCUACGGGGGCAGCACCAAAGGAUACAUUCCACAGUUGCCUGCACGUUUGGGAUCUGGUAACAGGACCACAAGAAAACUCUUGCAGCAAACUGAAGGUUUCUAUUUCAGAUCCUUCCACCACCUUCACCACCAUCAUUUCCAUAAUCCACCACCACCAUCACCACUAUCAUCACUACUACCUUCAUCACCACCUCUCAAUACCUCCAUCAUCACCACCCACCAUCAUCACCUCCACCACCAUGAGCACCACAUCUACCAUCAAAAAA